GAUGAAGAACGCAGCAAAAUGCGAUAAGUAAUGUGAAUUGCAGAAUUCAGUGAAUCAUCGGAUCUUUGAACGCACAUUGCGCCCGCUGGUAUUCCGGCGGGCAUGCCUGUUCGAGCGUCAUUUCAACCCUCAAGCCCCCGGGUUUGGUGUUGGGGAUCGGCUCUGCCCUUCUGGGCGGUGCCGCCCCCGAAAUACAUUGGCGGUCUCGCUGCAGCCUCCAUUGCGUAGUAGCUAACACCUCGCAACUGGAACGCGGCGCGGCCAUGCCGUAAAACCCCAACUUCUGAAUGUUGACCUCGGAUCAGGUAGGAAUACCCGCUGAACUUAAGCAUAUCAAUAAGCGGAGGA
This 348-nucleotide unclassified non-coding RNA is filed under the name soil metagenome. Its description in RNAcentral is "partial contains 5.8S ribosomal RNA, internal transcribed spacer 2, and large subunit ribosomal RNA". The stretch from base 1 to 120 matches the Rfam family "5.8S ribosomal RNA", at positions 35 to 154 of the family's 154-position model. The record is from RNAcentral.